Molecule: transfer RNA, 29 nt
Filed under: Quiscalus mexicanus (Great-tailed grackle)
Lineage: Eukaryota; Metazoa; Chordata; Aves; Passeriformes; Icteridae
Also listed under: 6 other names
Description: partial tRNA-Pro
Source: RNAcentral
AGAGGAGGGUUUGAGUCCUUUCUUCCUGA